RNAcentral lists this unclassified non-coding RNA (253 nucleotides) under Hevea brasiliensis (rubber tree). Lineage: Eukaryota; Viridiplantae; Streptophyta; Magnoliopsida; Malpighiales; Euphorbiaceae. The record is from RNAcentral.
UUAGCAGUUGCCCUAAGAAAGUGAGCCAAGGGCUGACCGUAAGUGUGGGGAAAGUAUCUGCUUAUGGUGCGAGCACCAGCUGCGUCUGCUGCAGUAGUAGAAUCGCCAAAUUCUACCCUGACAGUAGUUCCCUGAAGGCAAGGAGGGAGGUCUGGUUCGUAAAUGGAUCUCAGUUUUUGAAGCUCGGAAAGUUCUCUGGAAAUGCCGAAAUCGGAAUCCAUGGCGGUGUUGUGGUAGUGAUGAUGGUGGUGUG